Long non-coding RNA from Mesocricetus auratus (golden hamster), 442 nucleotides. RefSeq lists it as uncharacterized. The transcript is spliced from 2 exons. Lineage: Eukaryota; Metazoa; Chordata; Mammalia; Rodentia; Cricetidae. The record is from RefSeq and is a predicted model, not a curated record.
CUCCUCCAGGCGGGCCCGCGGCCGUCUGCACAGCUCCGCUGGUGUUACACGAGCUCCCGGGACUAUAUUUCAACACGUGCUUUCCCCCUUCACCUCGAAUCUCCUCCAUCAACUCUCAGGCACCAACCGCCUCCGACGUCCGACGCGCGCUCCAGAGCGAGCAUGCGCUUCCCAGACACCGCGAGCCCGCUACCGCAUGACGUCUAGUGCGCAGGCGCCAAGACCUUAAACCACAUCAAAAUCGUCCUCUCACGACACUGAUUGAAUGCAUCAGGUAAGCAUAAGGUCCUAAUGUGUUUUUAUUGGUCAGAAUUGUACACAAUUAUAUUUCAUCAUACAUGUCAUUCACGGUAACUUUGGCAGCUAAAGUAACUUACUGACAAAUUCUAAUACUGAGCACAGAAUAGUUCUAUAUCAAUAAAAAUGAGAUUAUUUUUGAAAA